RNAcentral lists this small RNA (75 nucleotides) under Xanthomonas campestris. RNAcentral's name for it is "sX9 sRNA". It matches the Rfam family "Xanthomonas sRNA sX9". Lineage: Bacteria; Pseudomonadati; Pseudomonadota; Gammaproteobacteria; Lysobacterales; Lysobacteraceae. The record is from RNAcentral. RNAcentral also lists the same sequence under 1 other name.
AUGUCCCUCCGUACACUCCGGUUCCUCCGCGCCGUCCGCACCCACCUGACGACUGCUCGCUACGUUUUGUUAGCC